Molecule: long non-coding RNA, 812 nt
Organism: Talpa occidentalis (Iberian mole)
Lineage: Eukaryota; Metazoa; Chordata; Mammalia; Eulipotyphla; Talpidae
Exons: 5
Source: RefSeq, a predicted model, not a curated record
UGGCGCGCAGCUAGAGAAAUAAUCAGUGUGGUUGGUGGUUUAGGACCAGCGGGAAAGAUGAAAAGUACGGUUUCUCCUCUGUUUGGUGAACUGUGUCGUGGCCGCGGUCCCUUCCGUUCACAGACCUGCAGAUGGAAGGAGUAGUGUUGGAAUGAGUUUUUGUGACGAAGCUUGUUUUUCAGUUUCAGCCCUAAACUAUGCCGAACGAUUUGUUUAAGAAGCCUUGGAAAAUAUGUUGCUCUCAGUGAGGCAUUUCGGAGGAAGUAAUUGCUACUGUUAUUUGAGCCAGUCUCUGACGCUGUGAGAGAGUCUAAAGAAAAUAAUAUGGAGCGAGUCAGCGCGUGUAACCGAAUAGCACUUUGUAGUCUGAAUACUCAGGAACAGAAGUUACUAUUUUGAUGUUACCUUACAGGUUAGGUAAGAUGCCCACAAUGUGACUGGUAAGAGUGGCCAUGUGAAGGUGGAGUAGAGACUUCUGCUACUACUCCUAGGAGAAUGGGGUUGGCCUAGUUGAAUUUGACGAGGUUGACUAUUAUGUGACCAAGGAGGACAUAAUAAAUCAUGGCAUUUAAAAGAACAUCCUGAGUUCAAAGCUUGAUGAAGCUGAACUCCUAAUUGAGAAGAUGGAGUCAUAAAAUGGUGCAUUCUUUGUCAGUGUAAAUCCUUGGAUGGCAAACAUGAGCAGAUCCCUUUCUUCCCCUCACUUGAGAGGAUGUGAUGUUGAUACAAUUCGUUCACUGUUUAACUGUAACAGAGCACAAUGAGAAGAAAGACUUCUUCUGGAAUGCAAAUGCAGCAGUAAUACUCACAAU